RNAcentral lists this ribosomal RNA (323 nucleotides) under Klebsiella pneumoniae. Its description in RNAcentral is "partial 23S ribosomal RNA". It matches the Rfam family "Bacterial large subunit ribosomal RNA", at positions 1046 to 1368 of the family's 2925-position model. Lineage: Bacteria; Pseudomonadati; Pseudomonadota; Gammaproteobacteria; Enterobacterales; Enterobacteriaceae. The record is from RNAcentral.
CCCAAAGUCAUGGUUAAGUGGGAAACGAUGUGGGAAGGCACAGACAGCCAGGAUGUUGGCUUAGAAGCAGCCAUCAUUUAAAGAAAGCGUAAUAGCUCACUGGUCGAGUCGGCCUGCGCGGAAGAUGUAACGGGGCUAAACCAUGCACCGAAGCUGCGGCAGCGACACUAUGUGUUGUUGGGUAGGGGAGCGUUCUGUAAGCCUGCGAAGGUGACCUGUGAGGGUUGCUGGAGGUAUCAGAAGUGCGAAUGCUGACAUAAGUAACGAUAAAGCGGGUGAAAAGCCCGCUCGCCGGAAGACCAAGGGUUCCUGUCCAACGUUAA